RNAcentral lists this ribosomal RNA (180 nucleotides) under uncultured bacterium. Its description in RNAcentral is "partial 16S ribosomal RNA". It matches the Rfam family "Bacterial small subunit ribosomal RNA", at positions 338 to 510 of the family's 1533-position model. The record is from RNAcentral.
CCUACGGGAGGCAGCAGUAGGGAAUCUUCCACAAUGGACGCAAGUCUGAUGGAGCAACGCCGCGUGAGUGAAGAAGGGUUUCGGCUCGUAAAGCUCUGUUGUUGGUGAAGAAGGACAGGGGUAGUAACUGACCUUUGUUUGACGGUAAUCAAUUAGAAAGUCACGGCUAACUACGUGCCA